Molecule: ribosomal RNA, 375 nt
Filed under: Paroedura androyensis
Lineage: Eukaryota; Metazoa; Chordata; Lepidosauria; Squamata; Gekkonidae
Description: partial 12S ribosomal RNA
Rfam family: Bacterial small subunit ribosomal RNA
Source: RNAcentral
CGUAAACCAAGGCGAUCUACAUACCACUUCGCCCGCCAGAGCAUUACAAGCAAAAAGCUUAAAACUCAAAGGACUUGACGGUGUUGCAAAUCUAUCUAGAGGAGCCUGUCCAAUAAUCGAUAAUCCACGAUAAACCUUACCCACCCUAGCACCCACAGCCUAUAUACCGCCGUCAGCCAUUAAAGCCUACCUUUUGAAAGCACUACGUAAGCAAAAAAGCCUAACCGCUAGCACAUCAGGUCAAGGUGUAGCUAAUGAGUGGGUCAGAGAUGGGCUACACUCCCUAUUAAAGGGCACCAAAAGCCACAUGAAAAUGGGCCUAAAGUUGGAUUUAGCAGUAAAUAUAACAAGAAUGUUUAAUUGAAUUAUGCCCUG